UUUUGCAUUUAAUUUAUUGCUCAGACGCCAAUUAAAAAAGAUUGAAUGUGUCUUUAGCGGGCGCUCGCCAGCUGGGGCCGACGGCGACGGGGGCCGCGGCCCGCUAAAGCAACUGAAUUGGUUGGCAUUGGGUGGAGAUGGCUCCCGAAAGAGACCUAACUCGAUAAUGAUCCUUCCGCAGGUUCACCUACGGAAA
RNAcentral lists this unclassified non-coding RNA (196 nucleotides) under uncultured fungus. Its description in RNAcentral is "sequence contains ITS1". The record is from RNAcentral. Lineage: Eukaryota; Fungi.